AAGCCAGACUCCUACGGGAGGCAGCAGUGGGGGAUAUUGCACAAUGGGGGAAACCCUGAUGCAGCGACGCCGCGUGGGUGAAGAAGCGCCUCGGCGCGUAAAGCCCUGUCAGCAGGGAAGAAAAUGACGGUACCUGAAGAAGAAGCCCCGGCUAACUACGUGCCAGCAGCCGCGGUAAUACGUAGGGGGCAAGCGUUAUCCGGAUUUACUGGGUGUAAAGGGGGCGCAGACGGCGAUGCAAGCCAGGAGUGAAAGCCCGGGGCCCAACCCCGGGACUGCUCUUGGAACUGCGUGGCUAGAGUGCAGGAGGGGCAGGCGGAAUUCCUGGUGUAGCGGUGAAAUGCGUAGAUAUCAGGAGGAACACCGGUGGCGAAGGCGGCCUGCUGGACUGCAACUGACGUUGAGGCCCGAAAGCGUGGGGAGCAAACAGGAUUAGAUACCCCGGUA
RNAcentral lists this ribosomal RNA (447 nucleotides) under uncultured bacterium. Its description in RNAcentral is "bacterial SSU rRNA". It matches the Rfam family "Bacterial small subunit ribosomal RNA", at positions 328 to 792 of the family's 1533-position model. The record is from RNAcentral.